GGCUUACUCACGUAACUGUUUGACGAGGAACUCUACUACUUCCAAGCCAUGCUAAAGGCUCAUAUUCAUGAGCAGCAUUCCGCGACACACGACGCGGCGAUUGUCGCUAUUACUGAGCCUCUAGCAUGGCUUGAAACUAGUCGAGUUCCUCAUCAAACAGUUACGUGAGUAAGCC
This 175-nucleotide microRNA precursor is filed under the name Spodoptera frugiperda (fall armyworm). RNAcentral's name for it is "microRNA sfr-mir-10461b precursor". The record is from miRBase by way of RNAcentral. Lineage: Eukaryota; Metazoa; Arthropoda; Insecta; Lepidoptera; Noctuidae.